UGGAAAUGGCAGUGUCUUGCCUUUCCAAUUUGUCACGGAUCUCUCCAAACAUUAAAUUCAUGCGCUCAAAUUGUUGUUGCAUGGCUUUGAGCAUGAUUGAUUGGUCUAUAGCUUCCUGAUCUUUUGAUAUAUUUGUGAUGUGAAAAGAAUGUUAGCAAAAAAACCUCACAACACUCUCUUACGUGUUUCACUCAAUUUUAUGUCACUCAAUUCUCGUGUUUAGCACACAAAUUGGCUUUUAUCCUCUAAUGAUCUCACAAACUUUUACCUUUUACCACACUUGAUUCUCUCUUUUAGUUCUUUAUUGAACCAAAUAAACAAAAUCAAGAAAAACCUAGGUGGCACACCAAAUAUGACAAACCAGCACACUAAACAAAGAAAAAGAAUUAAGAGGACACAGAGAGCGACAAAUGAAAUUAAAGAAAAGAAAACAAGCAAGCAAAUGAACACAAUUGGUAUUAUGUGUAAACAAUUUUAACGAAAAUGAAUAACUAAAAUUCAAUUUGAUGAAAGUAGGAAGCCUGGAAUCCUUUUGCAAUCUUUUUUUUGCUGUAUUUUUUCUUUUUUUUAAUAAUCAAAAUAAAUAAGACAUUCAAACCUGAUUAGAAACUAGCUUUGAUACCAAAUGAUGCGAAUCUCACAAGAAACUUUGAAACCUACACUUAAUUUGAAGUUUCAACUUCUCAAGAAAGUUCUAAACAAAUUUAUGACAAACAAAACAGUGACUUAAUGGUUAAGAAAAUAUAAACCAAAGGCAUAGAGAAUGAUAUUGACACCACACUCAAGAUGUAGAUGAGAAGGUGAAUGAUAAGUUUAGAUUUGGAGCGCCACAAGAAUGCAAAUUUUUGAUAAGUUCAUUAGUUUUUAAAAGAACUAAAGAAACAAUAAUCUUCCAAAUUCAAAUAACAUUAAUCUCUAAUUGUCUUACAUAGUAAGAUUGCUGAGUUCAAAUAGGCUAAUAGAAACCCAGGAUCCUAAAAAUACAAAUGGAAAUAUUGAAACAACCCUUCAAGCAUAGGCUUGUCAAAUGAUGCUUUAAAAGUCUUCACCAACCCACCAUUAUUAAUGCUAGUCAUUGACAAACUUAAUGCCAGCCCACCAUUAUUGAUGAUAGAUUUACCUAACACAUUGACAAACUUGAAAAAAAAAAGAAAUGAAUAAAAUUGAAUAAACAAAUGAGUGGUUGAAAUUCCUAAGCCUGAAAUAAAUUGGUCAUAACACCUUCUAGAGAACUCUAAAUCUAGCUAUGUAAAUUGCAUUGGAAAGUUAGCUUAAUUAUCUUUUUAAUGAUCUAUGGCUUGCAUAUUAGUUUUAGCCCAAUCAAUGCCAAUUUCAUUCCGAAUUUACCCUUUUUGCAUUUGACCCAAAUUGUGCAUUUGGCUGCCCAACAACUUGAAUAAUGCCCACAAUGUCUUGUCUUCUCUCCAAACCCAAUUCAUAAUGUCUUGUAUCUUGUACAUUUUCUCACUUUUUAAUGGUGAUUUCUAAUUUCACUUGUAAGCUCAAAGAUUUGUUGUGCUAAAGAAUCAAUUAUGUCAACUAAAAAACAUGAAUUUAUUUGUUGUGCUAAAGAAUCAAUUAUGUCAGCUAAAAAACAUGAAUUUAAAUCACUUGGAUACGUCAUAGCAUCAAAAAUAUUAAAAUGGAUAACCUCUCCAUCAAACUCCACAAUUAGAGUUCUAUUAUACAAAUCAUAUUAGUCCUGGUUAUUUUCAUGAAUGGUUUUCUAGAAGUAAUAGAGUUGGAAUAGGAGAUCCACCAUCCUCUGUAUCAAGAAUAUAGAAAUCAGUGAGGAAAACAUCUUCCAAAAAUCCUUUUAGAUAAGCAUUAGAUCUAUCAGCAAGUUAAACAAUAACACUAGUUUUUCUAAGUUCACCCAAGUUUAAAGCAGCAUAAAUAAGAAAAGGCAUGAUAUUAAUAGAUGAACCUAAGUCUAACAUAGCUCAUUUAAACUUGGCGUUACCAAUUAUGCAUAGAAUGGUGAAACUUCUUAGACUUUCACAAUUCGAUGGAAGCUUUCUUUUCAAAAGAGCAUACAUAUCUCCUCCACUUUUAUUCCCUUAUUACCUUUGAGCUUGCAUUUUUUGGUGCAUGACUCUUUGAGGAACUUUGCAUAGUGUGAUACUUGUUCAAUAGCCUGCAAUAAAAGUAUGUUAACUUGUAUUUUACGAAGGGUUUUUAAAAUAUAUCUUUCAUGCUCCUCUUUCUUGGAUUUUUCAUCCUAGGGUUUUUUAAAUCUACUAGGAAAAUGUAACAAAGGAACAUUAGAAGAAAUAAGAACCUUAGAAGUUACCUUAGGUACUAAACUCUUCAUAGUAGAAUAUGUGGCUUUAUUUUUCUCAAUAACUAAAUCAUCUUAUUGUUUUGUCUUAUUCGCGGCUAAUUUUCCUCUUUUUGAUGUUUCAUUAAAUUUUUACCACUCCUUAAAGCCACAAAAUUAGCAUUCUCUCUUGUGUUGGAUCGUAGUUUGGGAUGAUGCUUUCUAAAUCUUGUGCUUUUAAUCUGCCCACUACACUAGCCAAUUGGUUGAAUUAUGUCUCUAAAUUCUUGAUGUUGUCAUUUCUUUUUGUUGAAAUGCCAAAGAACUGAUAGCCAAAUAUUUAACCAAAUCUUUAAGGUAUGUUCUUUAAUUAUAGGAAACAGGCUGCAGCCUAGAAUAAUAAGGUUGUUGCCUUGGUUCAAUGAAACCUAGUGGAUGAUUAAGGUUACUAUUAGGACUAGCUUAUUGUUGAUUUUCCAAAUAACUAAAGUUUGGAUGAUCUCUCCAUCUUGGAUAGUAGGUGUUGGAAAAAAGAUCGUACUUUUGCUUUGUCAAACAUGUUGCUCUAAUACCCACGUAUAAUAUUGGUUUGCUCUAAAGUACUAUCUUGCAAAAAAGGACACAUAUUUGUUGGAUGACCUACCAAAAAGUAUAAUCCAUAAGACUUCUACUGUUGAAUGUUACCACUAGCUAAUUGGUGAACUAAUUAAAGUGAGUUUAUCAAGUUUUUAUCCAAUAUUUGAUAAACUAUAAACUGUAUCACUUAAAACCCUAGCCUUAAAUGUUAUCAUUAUUGAGUAUAGAUAUAAGCAAGGGUCAUUCUCAUAGAGUGUUACUCCUAAUUAAAAAGUUAUUAACAUGAAACACACAAACUGUCUACCAACAAAGACUAAAUUAAAAACCCUAGUUAGACUUAACGAAAUCAGUUCAAGCUUUACAAAUUGAACCUCACAAAGAUAAGUGAGACCCUGCACUCAAUGAGGUCAUUUUGCUAAGGAUAAUUUUAAUUUAGACAUUUUGCUAAGGAUCAUUCUAAUUUAGAUUCAAACAACCAACUUAAUUGAUGCGCACCCGCAAAUGAAACUUUGAAACCCACACUUAAUUUGAUGUUUCAGCUUCCCAAAAAAGUUCUAAACAGAUUUAAGCGAAACAAAAACCUUGACCCAAUGUUUAAGAAAACAUGAACCAGAGGUAUAGAGAAGAAUAUUCAUGCCACAUUCAAGAUUUAGAUGAGAAGGUGCGUGAUAAGUCUAUUUUAGAAUGCCACAAGAAUGUAAAUUCUUGAUAAGUUCACUAGUUCUCAAAAGAACGAAAGAAAGAAUGAUAUUUUAAAUUCAAAAUAACAUUCAUCUCUAAUUGUCUUACAUAACAAGGUUGUUGAGUUUAAAUAGGCUAAUAAAACCCAAGAUCCUAAAAAUACAAAUGGAAACAUUGGACCCUUGAAGCAUAGGUUUGUUAAUGGAUGCUUCAAAAGUCUUCACCAACCCACCAUUAUUAAUGCUAGUCAUUGACAAACUUAAUGCUAGCCUACCAUAAUUAUUGCUAGUCAUUGACAAACUUAAUACUAGCCCACCAUCAUUGAUAGUAGACUUACCUAACACAUUGACAAACUUGAAACAAAACAAAGAAAUGAAGUUGAAUAAACAAAGGAGUGGUUGGAAUUCUUAAGCCUGAAAUAAAUUGGUCAUAACACCUUCUAGAGAACUCCAAAUGCAGCACUGUAAAUUACAUUAGAAAGUUAACUUAAUUAUCUUUUCAACGGUACAUAGCUUGCUAAUAGUUCCAACUCAAUCAAUACUAGUUUUAUUCCGAACUUACCCUUUUUACAUUUGACCCAAAUUGUGUGUUUGGCUACCCAACAACUUGAAUAAUGCCCAUAAUGCUUUGUCCUCUCUUCAAGCCCAAUUCAUCAUGUCUUGCCUAUUAAAUUGCAUUUUUAGUCCAUAUUUUCUUAAUUGAUCCAUUUAAAACAACUUGCAUCUUUUUGGCUCCAUCUCUUGUAAUUGUGCCUCCAUGAAUGUGCAAAGGAUCACUUGAAACUUUAAUGGUAUUCUUUUGUGACAUACUAUUUAAGCAACCCAAGAAGGGGGUGAAUUGGGUUACAAAAUGUUAUACAAAGCAAACCACACAACAAUUUAAAUCUAUUUCCUUAAUAAGAACAAAAACAAUAAAUUUAAUUAAGAAAAAUAAUAAAAGAGUAAGGGAAGAGAAAUCAAACACUUGAUUUUUACGUGGUUCGACUAACCGUGCUAAUAAGU
Molecule: long non-coding RNA, 4518 nt
Filed under: Citrus x clementina
Lineage: Eukaryota; Viridiplantae; Streptophyta; Magnoliopsida; Sapindales; Rutaceae
Description: Citrus clementina (C. clementina) long non-coding RNA (CCLE_LNC002530)
Source: RNAcentral